This is a long non-coding RNA of Mauremys mutica (yellowpond turtle), 676 nucleotides long. RefSeq lists it as uncharacterized. The record is from RefSeq and is a predicted model, not a curated record. The transcript has 3 exons. NCBI's taxonomy places the organism in Eukaryota, Metazoa, Chordata, Testudines, Geoemydidae.
UUUUAAAUGGCCUGACACCCACUUUGGGUCUGGUCGCUGGGCUCAUUCAGUGGCGUUUACAUUUUGCAUGCAGCUUAUUUUUAAAUGAGUGACUCUGGCAGCUAACAAAAGAAAGUGAAGCCUGGGGAUACCCACAGUACCUUUUACCCUUUACUCUUCAGUUCUUCCUCCUCUUCCCAUGCCUGACUCAUCCCCAGUGGCCCUACAGAACAUUCACCUCUCUCCAAAGCCAGGUAACCACAACUGCAUACACUUGUUGCAGGGAUAAAGCACUCCAGCUCACACAUGCACCCUCUUCAUCCACCCUUGAGGCAGAGGAGAACAGGAUGCUUCUUCUGCAGCAUUCCCUGUCCCUUUUGGCCCAAGAAUGGAGACCCUUAUCUCUUACAUGGCAGCAUGCUACAUUGCCACUGAGUGACUAAGCCAAUUCAAGGUCCAGUUGCGCGUGUAAUAUCCCAAGCAAGAGCAGAAGUCUCAGACCACACCCCAGUGGGCAACCAAAGCCAUUGCAACUGGCCAGUCUCUGAAGAGGCCAAGGACUGAACAGGCACGGAAAAUUCACAUUCUAGUGACAGAAUCACACGCAUUUCCAUCUGUCUCUCUGGAUGUGCAGCGAGGAACCUAUGGUAAAGAUCAGCUAAAGCAGCGAGAACCGGGAGAGCCCAGUGUUAUACCC